Non-coding RNA from Podarcis lilfordi (Lilford's wall lizard), 37805 nucleotides. NCBI's taxonomy places the organism in Eukaryota, Metazoa, Chordata, Lepidosauria, Squamata, Lacertidae. The record is from the annotation of a GenBank genome assembly.
AAAAUGCAAAUUACACUAGUUAGUCAAAAAAAAAAUCCACCUUCUGUUAAAAAUACAUUCAGAAUUAACAAAUGACUAUAAGAAAAAAAGGACAUUUGGAUUGUUAACACUUGCCUUCUAAAUAUUUGGAUUUAUAACAACAACAAAAAGCCCAGUCUAGAAAAAUAACAUUCUUCACUGGAUUUUUGAGGAGGAUACAGCUGUACAAUUCAACAACAGCAUUUCAGAUAUUCUCACACUACUGUGCUCUAAAACUCUUUCCAUAGCAGAUGUGUCCAUUAGUUUAUCCACUGUAGUAGUCAACAGUCUUGAAAUUGUUUUGGUGGUAGUGAUUUAGCUGCAAUGUAAGCAAGUAUGAAGGCCUAUUAGUGUGUGUGUGUGUGUGUGUGUGUGUGUGUGUGUGUGUUUGUAUGGCAGCAUCGAAAGUGUAGAAUUUUCAUUGCAAUGCCUCAAAAUUCUCUGUUUUUGCUUACUCUUACACUAGGAGAAGAGGCACUCUAACUUUCUUUCUCCUCUUACAGUCAUAGCAGAACCUUCUCACUUCUCGAAGACCAUGGUCUUCAGCGACUUUCUCGUCUUACCUCCAGGCAGCAGAAACCCCAGGCGCCUCUGCUCCUCUGCAUGCCAAUCCAUUUUAAAUGUGAGUAGCUUUCUCUUUUCUCUGAUCUCUUGCAAAAAAACCAAACCAAAAUAAAACGCCUCGCUGUUUUUCAACUCCAUUUCCCCAGGGGCAUUGCUAGAGGGAAGAAGCCUGCAAUACGCCUAGACAAAUUCAGGGAAAGAAGUUCUAGCCAAAUAUAUUCCUAUAGGAGGAGAACUCAGUUGGGAGUCCCUUUUAUAGUGAAAGCCCAUCUCUCGUUGGGACAGUGCCCACACUAAAGCAGAGAAAGUGGUUCCCUUACCUGACAUCAUUCCUACAAGCACUUCUCCUUUCUGGACACUCACUAGUCAUACUAUUGCGCUGCACUCUGAAAAGCAGCUGGCACUCGGUGUCAGUGCUGCUAUAAGAGCAAGUCUGGAUCCUUGUAAACCUGCACACGAACUCGAGAAACUCUAUUUCUUUCAUGGAGGCUUUUGCACUAGGGGUGAUACAGCCCACAGGAAAUAAGGGGACAUACUUCCCUCUUCUCAUUCAGCUUUUUUCUACAGUGGAUGCAGUUGUUUUUAAAAACAUACAGCAAUAUUUGGCAGCGGGGGUAGCAGGAUACAUUCUAGGAAAGUAUGCCAUUUAUUUGCAGCAAGAUGGCUGUUUCCUAGUAGAUACCGGUGCAGGCAUGGGAAGCAAAGGUAGAGAAGUGCCUUCAUCCUAUAGGCCGAUGAAAUAGCACUGGCUGGCUGGCUGGCUAGCUUGCUUAUAUUUGCUAACACUGAACUGAACCACAAACUUCACAAACAUUUCCUGAUAGGGAAUUUGAGGAAGCUUGGUGUUGGUACACUCCCAUAUAUAUAUGAUUAUAUAAACAGUAAAAAUAAACACAAUUAUUUUUAAAGUAAUUAGGCCGUUAUGGUGUUUAGCAAGAUCGAACCUAUAUAAAGCAAUGGAUUCUCCAAAAAUUGUGUAGUUAAGUAUAGUCAUCAUUUUUUAAUAGACCAGGAGUCUGAGCUAUGGAUAUGCAUUCAGGAGAUCAAAACUCUACUCCAGAGCCAGAAUACAUAUAUAAGUUUGCUGAUAUGCUGUGUUUAUCCCCAUAAGUGGAGAUAGAAUGUCAGUGAGUUGCUGCUUGGUCAGUGCUGCUGCUUCACUAUGUAACACGGUCCACGCUCCUUAACACACCUAUGUGAAAAGUAAGGUUAAGGAUGCAAUACUUCAUGCAUCAUAUCCCAGACUAAUUCCACUGAUAGUGAGUGAAUGUUAGGUUUACAGUGACUUCUGGUCCGAGCCUAAAAUGGCGAACAAGCCAACAAGAAUUAUAGAGCACCUUGAAAAUCUGCACCAGUGCAGUGUAGAUACAAUUAUGCAACUGCUUAAGAGUAGGAUGCUUGAUCUUGCAGGAAUACAGUUUUGAAAUUUACAUGUAUUAUCCACUAUACUAUGCAGAUUUCCUCAUAGUACAGUUUGGUUACACCCAUUUCACGUUAGUUGCUGGAAUCUGAUUAUGUUUAUAGUGCAUGUCUGUCCUGUACGCAUCCAGAUUUAUUUUUGUCUGUGACAUGUUACAUCCAUUGAAAGAUACAAAAAUGUGAGGUGGAGUGAGUUGGACUGGUGUUUCUAUAGGAACAGACUUUGAAAGUUGUCAUGGGGAAUGAUGGUUUUUAUAGGCCACACAGAAUGCAAACAUUUGGCAAGUGUAGAAAAACGUUGCCUGAAGACGACUUGAUGGGCAAUUUGCUAAUUUGUAGAAGAACCUCUCCCCCAUCAAGUGCCUACAGCUGGAAUACCCAUGUAAGUUUUAAAUAAAGAAAUGAGGGCAAUUCCGGUUCCAAAAAAUCCUGAGCAAAAUAUCUCUUCCCAUUGAAAAGCCAAUGAAGUGGCUGAAUAUACAGCUCAAAUUCAGAACAAACAGACGUUUCUAGGACUCCAAGGGUAUUUCAUAAAGACAUUGAUCUACUAGCAAAGUUUCCAAAGGCAUCUUGUUGCCAACUACAUAACAGCACAGCUUUUUUUUUCAGCCACGAUAAUACAGAAAGUUAAGAUACACAUUCUAACACACAACAGAUCCCCCAAAUAUCACAAAAAGGUCCUCAAAAAUGUUACCAACGCAACUACUCCCACCCCAACUAAAAAAACAAAACAAAACCCAGAAAGAAAUAUCUUAUAUGCUGCAGGUUUUUCUUUUUUUAAAAAAGCUCACCUACAUAGGAUUUUCAACUGGAAUUAAGUUAUAAAAGAGUAAACAUAGUUAAUACAUAUUCAGUUGGCCUCUGCUGAUAGAAAUAAUGCAGACGUCUCUGUCAUUAGUAAAAGACAUAUUUAGAGUCAUUUAUAAAAGCACCUAGAGUGCAGUAAAUAAAAACAGUGGGGUUAAGGAGCACUGUUUUUGUUGUUUCUUUACAGUUAUUACUUUAGUAAAUGUUCCUUUUCCCCUCAGCAUUUUCCAGCUCCCCAAAGAGCCCAGUUCUCUUAGAAGUAUUUUAAAGUGUAUUUGCAUCCCAGCCCUUCUGGAGACUUAAAGCACCUCUUCUGACUGCCAGCGGGUGGUUUUCUUACACAGCCAACUCUGGAACUACUGGGGAGCAGAGUCUAUUACCUGACACAGCCUUAGAAAUCUUUAACAAUUAAUGAACAGCAUGGUUGAGCCUAAAGGAAGUUACUUCAGAAAGUCCACACCGAAUUUCUCUGAUGUGUAACUUAGGAUAGGUUAAGGCAAGUAUGUAUUAUACAGCCUUUAGGGCAAACAACUUGCUGUCUAUUGACUUCUGUUUCAAGGUCAUCAUGGUAUCGUUAGUGUUUAUUGACUAAGAGGACACGGCUCCAGACAGAACCAAAAUGGAUGAGAUAUUGUUUCAUAAUUCAGAGGCAGGAGCAAAGGGAAGAGAAGAGAAGGCAGGCAGUGACCAGAAGAUGGUGCCACCGCUUCUCCUUCUGAACUUUCUGUAUAAGAAUUUGGAAAAUCCAAGAUGGGAGAGAAAGGAUCUUGUGCACUGCAGUCUGUACUUGUGAGAAAGUGAGGUCUCCGUGUCCCAGCAUUCUUCUAGUAUUAUAUUUUGAAACAGAAAAGUUAAGACUUCUUCCUUCUUUUGCACCCACAGGAGGCCGUGCUGGAAUAAGUUCUUUGACUAGUCCUUCGACCCCAACCACAGACUUUGUUUUGUCUACUUUGACCUAAAAGAAAGAGAAAGAAAUAUAUAUAUAAUCAGCACAAAGGUUUGUAUACCCAUCAAACACUUUUUUGAGGGGAUUAUUUUUUGUUGAAUUUUCAAAAUAAUAUACGUACAGGAGAGGUUUAGAUGUCAAUGCCCAUUGGCAUAUAUAGUUCACAACUCAUCAAACACUUUUAAGGUGAUGUUCAUGGAAAUCAUGUGUAUACUCUAAGAAACACCUAAUCUCCUUCAGACAAUGGCACCAACAAUCACAGGUUAGAGAGCAGAGAGAGAAUGCCAAGUAUGAGUCUGGGCCCCACCUUUCCCCUCCAUACUCCUAUCUUAAUAGGUGACUAGCCGUGAUGAUAAUAAUAAUAAUAAUAUAUACUGGCCUUCAUCCGAAGAUCACAGGGAGGUUGACAGCCUCACACAUCUGUCAAGUGUGAGGAGAGAAGAGCUGGGCUGUAGCAGCCCCCCUCACUAUAGCAUUUUUCUCCCUCACAGGUGAUCAGUGUGAGUGUUGCUUCAGGUCUACCUUCUCCCCGUCACCCUGUCAGAUUAGCCCUGUUCAUUGCCUGGAUCAGAAUGGCUAUCCAUUUAAAUGGAGCUAUGCAAAGGUAAAUAUGACAGCAUUGGGGUUGCCAAAGGAUUUGGUGUACUAUAAAUGAAACAACAGCAUGGCACCCUGGCAUUUCUCCUCUGGAAGAAGAGGAAAAUGCAAAUGACAUAAUUAAGGAAGGAUGCCAUGCCCUGCAGCAGGCUUCAGAUGUAGAGGAGUUCUUUUGUUUGGGAAACAAAUACAUCAAGAGAAACAUUGGAUUUAAUGUAAAUGUCCGGAUUAUAGCAAUGACAUGAAGGGGGGAAAUGACCCUAAUGAGUAAAUCCUAAUGAGUUUUAAUCAGGCCAUAAGAUUUGAGAAUCUCACUAGUCACAGGAAUUCUGCUUCAUAAAGCAAACUGCAUGCCUUCAUGACACUGGCUCUGUAUAGAAGGCAGAUCAUUUCAUGGCUGAAAGUCCUCAGAGAAUGACAGGAAAAUUCUUCUGUAAUGGCGAGCUGUUCUUGAGCAAUUUUUCCAACACAUUAUGCAUUUCAUAUUACAUACUGUCAUCGGCCCUCUCUCUCUUUCUCUCUCUUUAAACCAAUGUUUCUAUAGUGAAGUACCGAAAGAGUCUGGCUUUCUAUUGUCUAUUUGAGCGUCUCUCUCCUUCAAAUUAUUUCCUAGACUACCAAAAAUAUUGACGUCAUGUACUUGCUUAUUCUACAAUUCAAAUAUUUGGUGGCACACAUUUUUAAUAAUCCAACGUUGCAAAGUUUCUACGGGGGGUUCAGUUAUCUUUUGCACUAGUGGUUCCAUAUUGUUGCUUUCAUUGACAAGUCAAGAGUAUUUCAGUGCAAUUAGAUGAAAGCAGGCUCUAUCAUGGUAGAAUGCCACGGAGCAAUGUAUUGGGCAUAAGGAAGAAUGCUAGUUGAUCAUGCAUCAACACAUACAUAAUUUUGCUUGAAAUUUGGCUGAUUAUGACAGCUGGUUCAGAAUCCUGAAAAUCCCCAAGAAGGGUAGAAAACAACUCCCAAGCCCUUCAGAAAUGAUCUUUAAAAUGCUUACUGCUUUCCUGUUAUAUCCCCUACAAGGAGAACUUUGUUUGCUCUGCAUUUUAAAGCAAAGUGACCUAAUUCGCACCUCUCAGGGUAGCACAUGAACAAACCUAUAAUUAUACUUUCAAUUUAGUACUUUUUCCAGUUUUGCUAUAUGGCCUUUGGCUCAAAAAAUAAUAAUAAAAAAAUUAUACCAAAAUGCAUAAAAUGUGCUUUAGGAUAAAAUAUGUGUAGAACUGCAUAUCUUGAGCUAGAAUAAAAUGUAUUUAAAUAAAUAUUUCAACACAAAACAUUUAAUUAGUAUUUUAUAUAUUUAAAUACAAAUAUCUGUAUAAAUUUGGUCUUAAGGGUUUUAUUGGAUUAUGACAGUGGCUGACUAUUGUGAGUCUAGGUGAACCUUGGGCUUACAUGCUCGCUGACAUGGCCAUGAGAAGGAGAUUGGAAGCUUUAGGAUGACACAGCCCAAACUGUGGUUUGUUGAAAAAAAGUCAGCUUCAUAAACCAUGGUUUGAUGUUGGCUUGUUUCAAAAGACAUGGUUACAGUUAACCACAGUUUAUUGGGCUCGGAUGAUGUGACAAGCUGCACUUAAUAAUAAAAAAGAAGUAGCAAAAGCUUAUGAGUGGAAGAAAGGUUCUGCUGGUCUCUAGUCCAGCAUCCCGUUCUCACAUUUGCCAGCCAGAUCCCUAUGGGAAGCCUGCAAGCAGGACAUAAGCACAACAGUUCUCUCUAACAGCUUCUGAACUCCUUGCAGUCUUACUGAUGUGGGUUAGGGGAAAGGAGAGCAAGCAAAUGCAAGUCUCUCCUAUUCUCUUUCCCAACAUGGAUAAUUCUCAUGCCUAAUAUGAUAAAUUUGGACAAAUUUAUCAUGACAUCCAAAUGCAGCCAUUGUGUCCUUUGUCGCUUUACUAGAAAUAUCAACAGCUCUGUUGUCUUCUGCAUAUAGCCAAUAUCUCCUACAUGUCAGUGAGCAGUACUGGAGCAAAAUGGCAACAAACCUGCACUGAGUUUCAGAUGUUCCUCCUGUGUUUCCUUGUUCUCAACUACAAGCUUCAAAAUUUAUAUUGACUUCUUUGCCCUACAGCUUCAGCUUUCUUCCCAGCCAGUGUUUGUAAACUCUGUAAAUGCAAUCAGCUACUCUCAAAGCAGAGGACAUAAAGAGAAUGGGAUAAUAUCUCAGCUAGAAGGCUCCAUAUGUUGAUGGCAAGGUAUACUAUAUGAAGGAAGAAAUGGGAUUUGAAUUGUUCUGAGUACCUGGGAGCCACAAACAGUGACAGGAAGAAAUAACAUUUUGUAAGUGUAGAACACUGUGACAAAAGUGAAAAAGCAUUUCUUUGGGCACACACAGAUGAGAAACUGAAUUUUGAGAAAGCUGCCAUGUUUCACAAAUAGUCUGACAGCUGAGCAUAAUAAUAGGAUCACUAUUUGUGGCGUUCACCCAGAGGUAAAUUAGGGCUAAUGUACUUUCAUCAACAAAGAAGCUGCUGGGAGAGAAAGAUCCACAGGAAUAGUUGUUUGAAAGAUGAUGUAGAUGGUAAAAUUUCAUGGACUCUCCAUGCAAGCAGUGAAUAUGCUUGGCUGUUGCUGGAAAUGGCAUUCAGAGCAUUCAGACCAAUCCAUGUGGUAAAAAUGCAAACCUGAGAUUCCCUACUCAUACAACAGCAUUGUAAUGUAAGAAAUGCAUAUCAAGCAGAUGUACUUUUAAAGGAGUUCUUGGACAUUCCCUAAAAAGUGCUACUUUUUAAUCAUUAAUACACAUCUAGCAGUUGAUAGAGUAACUUGAAAGCUAGGUACUCACAUAUACAUGGGCUGUAGCUGUAAAUGAGAUGUCUUCUGUGGGCCUUGAUAGCCGUAAGAGUCAAAUCCACCUAUGAAGUCAACUGAAAAGGAGGAGAUUGCAUUCAUUGCUGACAUUCUCAGAAGUGAUAGGCAUUUUCCUUUUAAAAAUGCUUUCAUGCAUAUUACAUUGGCUAACCUCCCCCGCCCUUAAUAGUUUAUUAAAAUGGAAGUGAUUGAUUCUGGAGAAUGCAAACAAAGUACAGAAUCUACAGGGUAAUGACUAUAUAGAGAGCAAGUUUUCAUCAGCGUGCCAGUCACAGAUUAUAACAAUUUAUCUAUAUACCAUUGCUCUUCUUGUUUAUGAGCAGCCCACCUGACUGGAAUGUAUAAAUUACACAUUUGUUGGAGGCUGUAAACCAAUAAUUUGCAGCCUCCAUGUUUUAACUGGUUGUGAUUAUUGUGUCACAUCAGGCUGCCACACUGGUUCUGUGAGCAACAGAUGAAAGGAAAUGGAUCUAUGCUCUUUGAAAAAUUAUCCCAGGCUUUACAAGGAACCUGUGAAUUCCAGUAAGUGCUAAAGACAGCCUAGAUGGACAUGGUUAGACCUUAUAUUUUCCAAGGGAGCAACUGCAUUGUUUCUUUGUUCCAGUAGACUGCUUUGGAACCAGUGAAUUUAUAUGCCAUCUUCCUGAUUACUUCUGUCAGGUACUCAAGGAAGCCAUCACUACUAACUACUUGUUAGUUUUAAUGUUCUGUGGCAAUGAAUUUCAUAGCAUAAAGUGAUUCUUUUUUUACUUCUAAUCAGUUGCUCUGGAUGGCCUGAGUACUAGAAUUCUGGGAGAUUCUUCAGCAGAAUGGUUAGGUUACUGAAUUUGUGAAUUACUCGCCACAACAAGAUCCCCAAAAGAUUUACAAGAUGAAUAAAAUACAGCAACAUAGCAAUAAUAUAAAAGCAUAAACAUAUGAAAAACAUAGUGAGAAUAAAAGCAUCCCAUCAAGGGCCCAGGAAAACAAGCAAACAAAAAAAUGUCUGGCACUGAAACAAUGACCAAGUUGGGACCCGGUGGGCCUCCCUUGGAAAAGCAUUUCAUAAUUAGGGAGUUACCACUGAAAAUAUACAUUCUCUCAUCGCCACCCUCCAGACCCCCCUUGAAAGCAGCAUGCAGAGAAGGGCAUCCAAAGUCAAUCUCUGGGUCCAGGCAGGUUCAUAUGGGGAAAGGGGUGUGCAGUGCUUUGCGGGGGGGGGGGGGGGGGGCAUAAAAAAUGGCAUGAUGGUUCUUGUAUAUUGACAAACAUUCCAUGGGUGCCCACAUAAAAUAGAUGCUAUGGGCAGCAAGAAAAGUGGUGUUGGUACUCUGUAUAGGUGAGUACCAUCACAAAAGAAGCCUGGAGGUGGGCAUCUGUUUUAGGAUGUUGUAAGUCUGUAAAGACUUGAGCACAGAAGAGAGGUUCCAGAAGGAUGGUUUGCAAUGUAUGCAAACUAGCAGUACAAUGCAAUCUUGUCCCCCUUAUUCAUGACACACUCCUAUUUAGCUUUGCUGAAUCUGUGGUGGUGACCAGAUUGAUCUAAAAGUUGCUCGUGGCUUUAUUAUAGUCUCCAAACCCCAUGCCAAUUGAUGUCCUUUCUACUGGGCAUUUUAUUUUGGCAGAACCUAAAAGGUCACUAAAAGUGUUGUGCAGCUUCUAAUGUCUGAUAGUAUUGGCAUGGGAUUGAAUAAAUAAACCUUAUUGACUGAAUGACCAUAGAUGUUCUAAUCCUAAACUGAUUCAUCAAACACACUGAAAAGUUGCUUUUGAUCUUUUAAGAACAUCACCACCAGUUAGGGUUCUUAACUAUGUUUCUUCAGGAGCAAAUCUGAAAGUGCAGAGGCAUAAUCCCAUUGAUGUGAAACAUCAAAAGCUUACAGUUACUUCUUUCAUGGAGGCAUGAUUUUAAAAUUUCUUACAGACCCGUCAUAUGCAUGAUUAUCUGGAAGUCACACUGGUAGUUUCCAAUGUGAUUUACUCCUCUAUUUACAAGAUUGCACAAUUAGUUUAUCAGAAAACAUGUAAAUUAUUCAGGCAUGCUAAUGCCUAAAUAAGUUGCCUCUGUGUAUAUCUGUAUUUAUUCCUCCUCUGGAGAUGGCAGCAGUGGUCAAAGUGCCUAUUCUGACAUCACAUUAGUAUCUUUUGCAGACGGCAGAUAAAGCAGAAUGGUCUGGCAAGUGUCCACUGCAACCUUCUAUUUGGGGGAUAAAUAAUUCACAUCUGUUCCUUCAAGUCCAGUAGAAAGGGAUAAAAUAUUAUUAGAUUGCAAUGGUAAUUUAUUUGUUGUAAUAAAUAUUAAUGCAUCCACAGUGUCUUUAGAGAAAUCAUAAUCCUGCCCCCUCAAAAGACUAGGAAAACAGAUUCAUUUCUUUACAAGCCUGCAUAUUUGCCACCCAGUCCCGAGACAGAUGGUGACAAUGGUGAAAACAUAAGUGAAACUGAGUUUAUCGUUGAGGAGGCUUGUUUUUGAGAUGUAUCCACACAUGCUAUAAAUGACUGUGUCACAGGUCUUAUUUUGGAUAUUUGCCAAAUGGGCCUUAGUUAAUGUACUUUACCACUAAAGAAAGACAAAAUGAAUCUUUUUGGUGUUUAUCUGUACUUUGCAAUGGGCAACAUGUUGUUAUGUUGGGAAUCAGGAUUUCUUUCAUAUCCUGAUGGAGACAAGGGUAGAUUUGCACAACCAUCAUGUAGCACUUGCGACUUAUCUUGUGACAAAUACUGCCUGGGUCUGAUGAAAAGGCCUCGUUAGCUGAGCCUUGAUGUAAGUCUCAGACAAUCAACCAUUAUCUCAUGGUUGAGACUGUUGCAUUAAAAACAUUGUUGCAAAAAUCUACCAUGCUAUUUUCUUGGCCCUAAAUUCAAUGCUAAAAUAGGGCUCUAGAUCAUAAUCCUUCAACUGGUGCUUUUAAAGCUGGGAUCACCAAUGUGGUGCCUGAAAGCACAAUACAUCACCUGUGAAAGUUAGUGCUGCCUCCACUCACUGUGCCCUUAUUUCCCGUCCCCCAAAGUACGUAGUGCUAAGGGAGGGAGACUGGAAGUGAAAAGCUACUUCCCACUUCCUCUUUCAGCUCUGAUUGGAAUGACCAAGGUUGUAGGAGGAAGAGGUAACUGAUCUGAGAGACUGGGGAGGCAGACAGUGGCAGGGGGAUAAAGUGAGAUGCUGCAGGAGUCAGGGAAGAGAGAAUGGCAGGGAAAAGUGAUCAGUCAUGGUCUCUCUCUCUCUCUCCCACACACACAUUUACAUCAGAUUCAUCAAAACAGAUUCCCUCCUCUUGGGGUCUCCACCAUGCAAACCACUUAUCUUGUUGGCUGAACCAUAAAAAUAAUGCAUCUGGUGCUUUCCAAAACUGCCAUGGUAAAAAAACAUGGAUCCAAAGCAAAAGAAUCCAUGCAGAUCACCAUAAUUUUUAAGACUGAUCCCCUCAGAACCAUCUUUAAAUCUCUGUCCAUUCAUGUGUCCUGUCAUUUAGUGGCGGUUUUGUUGUCAUCCUGUUUAAGAGCCCUGGAUAAUUCGGGAGGAUCUGUGCCUUGGAUAGAUGCAUUUGUGCCAUAGCAACCCUGGAAAGCACUGCGAUUUUUACUGUGCAGUCUACUAAUUUAAGCAUUUAUGUGAUGGUGUUAGGGUGGGGAGGUUGACUCAAUGUAAAAUCAUGCAAAAGGAAGAGGAUCUAUUUUAAUUCCACCGGAUCAGUCUUUUUACUCAAACCCUUUUGAAAAGCAAAUGAUGUAGGGUGUGUGUGUGUGUGUGUGUGUGUGUGUGCUUUCCCUCUUUAUGUCUGCCUGGGGGAGAGUGACCCAGGAAUGGAAGAGAGAGACAUAACCAGAGGAGAUGGUGUACAUGGAACCAGUGGCAUGUGGUCAGUGGACUAGGGGGACUAGGCUAGUCCCCUAAAUGUCCUGGUAAAUUAGAGUAUUAAAUUAUUAAAGCUGGCCCGGGAAGCUUCCGCCUGGCCUAGAAAGGGAGGCACGAUGCACACACACACACACACACACACACACACACAACAUCACCCUUCCCAAUCGCCCUCAUAAGCUGAUACCUUUGGCCCUAACUGUUCCCCUACAAAAAACUUUACUGCAUGCCACUGCAUGGCACACUCCCAAUUGCUCCCACAUGUCCCAAAAGGUUGGCAACUCCAAUACAAAUGUCUUGAAGUCACCUAAUGCAAUUGCCAAUGCUCACUUUCAAAACCACUGCAUAUACUGAGCAAACCCCCAACAAAUGGUUUGCAUUCAUGGGAACACACACACACUCUGAGGUUUGCUAAGCUGUUCCCUCCCCCUGGUAGUACCUUUCUUGGAGCAAACCAAAACUACCUUCUAAUCUUUGCAAUUUUUUAGAAAUAGCAUGCAGUGGCAGCAACUGCUCAGCAAAUCCUCCACUAAAGACAUGGAUCAGACCUAUGCAACUUCACUAAGACAUACCCUAAAUUGGGUUUUGCUAUCUGUAGGAAUGUUUGCAAAAGUGUUUUUCACAAGGAAUAGCAACUCCCCGGAAAAGAAGGGCUUUCAUUAGCACAGGUUAUAGAUGUGGGGUUUUUACAGGCCUCACAAAGGGCAGCAGUGAGUCAGCUGGAAAAAAGCAGAUGGGCAGACAGAAGGAAAGCAAUAUGGUGUAAAACAACACAAUCAUCCAUCUCAUUUUCAACCAAGUAGUCAGCAUAGUAGCAAAUGUUAACAGAACUGAAAGAAAUCAGAUGACUUGAAUCAUACAUCACCCAUUCAGUGUGGAGGCUGCUAAUCACUGCUUCCUCAUGACAGCACUAUGUCUAGUGGAAUACGACAUUUAUGUGUUGAGUUUAGUGUGGGAGUCCCACCAACACAGACAUAUAGCAUUUCUGUGCUUGGCUUAUUGCUGCUGUAAGUCCAAGUUCAAAUAAGUCCCAACUGUGCAGAGGCCACCAGGCGGAAACCAUAUUUAUGAACCUCUGCAUGGGGGAAAGUAACGUAUGACUUGGCUUUAAAUAUCCAUCUCUACAAAAUAAUUUGGUUGUGGUGGCAAUCCCAUAUCCAGUAACCUGGGAGGAAACCUACUUGAAUGCAAUGGGACUUACUUCUGACUAGACAUGAUUAAAAUGUUGCAGUGAUGAGGGCAAGGUUGUAUGAUCAAGAUUAUCAUGGGAAUAGCCAUAUAAAUGAUUUUCUAGUAAAACUUUGAUAUGUUUAACAGACUGUGACUGAGGGCAGUUUCAUUUAAUUUUCCUUCAGAAACUCUGGAUCAAUAAAAUGUAAAUAAAAUAACAUCCGUAUCAUAAAGGCCCUCCCCUUCUCUGAGAUUUCCCUGAGCUUUGGACUGUUUCCAAACUGGUGAUAUAUUCAACACUUACAGCCCUGCAGAAUACAGUGAGGAUUCUCCUGCCCGUUUCUCCCCUUCCAGAUAUCAAAUGUGAACACACACAGCUAUUAAAAAGCUCAGAUCAGAGAAGAGGGACAAUGGAAGACUUGUUUCACAGAUGUAGAUUCAAUUCUUGAGUCUUCCUUCCCUAGUCAUAUAGUGGCCCAGAAGUCACACUUCAGACAUAGUGGCACCAUGGGCUGUUGUGGUCUACACUAUGAGAGGGAAGGGAAGCAAGCAAAAAUAGCCAAACCAACCCAUCGUCCUCACCGCUGCCACAAAUUUGAUGUAUUCUCCCUCCUCUUUACAUCCACUAAGCAGACUCUGUCUAUCAAUACCCGGUGGAGUAAUAUAGCACAGGCACACAGGUGUGAAGCCUUCAGGGAACCCUCCCUAAAAUAAGCUAUGCUUUUACUUAGUGUCUUAGUGAGGCAACACUUAGAGGCAGUUUCAGAAAACAUGCUUUUAGAAUAUAUAUAUAAAUAAACAGAGAAACGCAUACAAAACUGUUCUACACUGUUUCUUAUGGGUUCAGCUUUUGGGUCCCUUUGUGGUCUUUUCCUGGCUCCUUUCUGCUGUAAUGUCCCAGUUGGGUUCUCUGAUCCUUCAUCUUAAUGUUUUGGUCCUUUCUCUCUCCUGCAACUCUUCCAUUUUUUAACUUACUAGCUUUAUAGUAUUUUUGCUCUUAACCUUUUAGCCAACAGGAGGAGAGUCAAAUCUUGAUUAUGUUUCUAUUUCUCCUUAAUUGCCAGGUUCAUAGGCUGAAACUCUGACUCUCCUGUGCACAUUAGUCUCUUGUGAACUUUCAUUUUUUGUUUCUAUUAAAACUACACAACGAUACUUCUAAUUAGAAUUUUGUAAAAAAGAAAGAAAGAAAGGGAAGUCUUAGAUGUUAAGAUUGAACAUUUGCCAAAUCAGAGUCAUGAAAUGUCUGCAAAAUUAGUGUACAAAUUUUAACUGAAAAGGAGUUAAUUAAAACAACCAAAAAACAAGACUCUAUCAGUAUAUAGUAACCUUUUGACAACAGAUGAAAUACUGUAGUAAUUUAACCAUCUUCACUGAACCUGAUUUCAGAACAGUUUUUCCUUUCUCCUAUGAACUUUUGACUGUCCUAUGUAGAAGAAUGUCUAAAGCAAAAGCAACCAUUUUACAAUCUAAAACCAAACUAAACCUUUAUUCACAUACACAUCUUUGGAAUAGUUGCCCCCCCCAGCACACUUACUUGGAGUAAAUCCCAUUGAACCCAUUGAAUCCAAAUAAACAUGCACAGGAAUGGGCUGCACAUCAUGUAAACUUUCCUUUCUUGCACACUUAUUCUUACUUUUGACUUAAUAAAUAUGUUGAUGUUGUUGUUGAAGUUUCACUUGACAUCAAGAGAGAGAGAAAAUCCCACAAAUAUUUAAAAUAAGCUGGGCUCUACUGGGUCUCAAAAGAUGAGGGAAACAAAUCUUUCCAGUAGCAUACAUUGGCCUGUAACUCAAAAGUUACAGUAAUUUCCUGACCAAAGAAAUGUUACAUGGGGGAAAAAAUAUUUACAGCAACUAAUAAGCGACUGCACAUUUUGGUUUGGAAAGUCUGUUGGUUGCUUUUUGCCUUAGAGCUCAUCAACAUAGUACCUAUUUUGGGGAUUACCAUCAGCAUGCCCAAAAACCCACAGCAAACAAUGCCUUUUGGGUCUCUAUUUUUCUUUGCUACAGGUACGUUCAGUGCUGCAAAAGUCUACACAAAUUUUCCCCAACACACAAAUGCAUGCAGAAUCUACUGGUCUAUGAACAUGGAACUUUUUAUAAAUGCGAAGUAUUGUUAACAGCCUAUAAUAAAGACCUCCGUGAGGAAAUAUGAUACAUGCAAAUAUAUAUAUAUAUAUAUAUAUAUAUAUAUAUAUAUAUAUAUAUAUUCUUUUCCCUUCCUGAAUGAAGUUUCAGUUGAGCUAGGAUAUUUCUAGGACAAUUUCCACUAUAAUGCACCAUUUUACACAUGGGGCAUUCUAAAACUGCCCCUGAAGGACUUUCAAACUGCCAAGAUGCUUCAAAUAGCCUGGAAAAAUCUGCAGGUUGUUCCCAAUCAGUGUCAUCUAGAGGAAAUGCAAGCAUGGUAGGAUCAUUGUGUCCCUAAUGGAACAAAUUGUUAGCAGGAGAUUGCUGUCUCUGUCAGUUUUAUUGCACAUAGCCAAAGGCUGCCGCAAUGUACACAGAAUUAUUUGACAAUUAGAAGAAAAUAUACUGAAUUGGUAAAAAAAGACUUAAUACAUUUAUAUUAUUAAAACAUUACGUAUUCUAAACAAAGCUAUAAAAGUACCCCAAUGUACCAAUAAAAACAUUAAACAAUAAAAUUCAUAAGCUAAAAUAUCACAUGGUCACUAAUGUUAAAAACAAUAUCAAUUAAUACAAUGUGCAAUUUAUACUCAGAGUUUGGUGACAAAGAUAGAGCAUAGCCUGAGGUAGAUAGAUGGGAUCAAAUAAAUUCAUCUCCUUUGCAAUUAAUGGCUACCUUGGCUAUAUAAUUUGCUCUAAUUUUCCUAGUAGCAGUUGCAAAAAGUGCUAUCCGCCAGGUCACAUACUUAUCUGUGUCUGCAAGGAGAUAUAACAUCAUGUCAAGGGGGUUCUGGCCAGGGGACCCUGUCAUUAUAGGUACCAAAAAUCUUUUUCUUGCAUCAUUAUAUAAUGGACAGUGCAAGAUAUAAUGCAUAAGGAGAUUGCUGUAGGCUAGCUUAUUACUGGACAAGUAAAGAGAUAAAGAUCACCUCAUCUGUCUCCUGAGAAAUCUCUAUGUGGGACAAGAAGCUACAGUUAGAACUGGAUAUGGAACAACUGAUUGCUUCAGAAUUGGGAAAGGAGUACGACAAGGCUGUAUUUUGUCUCCCUGUUUAUUUAACUUAUAUGCAGAAUUCAUCAUGCGAAAGGCUGGGCUGGAUGAAUCCCUAGCCGGAAUUAAGAUUGCCGGAAGAAAUAUUAACAACCUCAGAUAUGCAGAUGACACAACCUUGAUGGCAGAAAGUGAGGAGGAAUUAAAGAACCUUUUAAUGAGGGUGAAAGAAGAGAGCACAAAAUAUGGUCUGAAGCUCAACAUCAAAAAAACGAAGAUCAUGGCCACUGGUCCCAUCACCUCCUGGCAAAUAGAAGGGGAAGAAAUGGAGGCAGUGAGAGAUUUUACUUUCUUGGGCUCCAUGAUCACUGCAGAUGGUGACAGCAGCCACGAAAUUAAAAGACGCCUGCUUCUUGGGAGAAGGGCAAUGACAGGCCUAGACAGCAUCUUGAGAAGUAGAGACGUAACCUUGCCAACAAAGGUCCGUAUAGUUAAAGCUAUGGUUUUCCCAGUAGUGAUGUAUGGAAGUGAGAGCUGGACCAUAAAGAAGGCUGAUCGCCGAAGAAUUGAUGCUUUUGAAUUAUGGUGCUGGAGGAGACUCUUGAGAGUCCCAUGGACUGCAAGAAGAUCAAACGCAUCCAUUCUUAAGGAAAUUAGCCCUGGGUGCUCACUGGAAGGACAGAUCCUGAAGCUGAGGCUCCAGUACUUUGGCCACCUCGUGAGAAGAGAAGACUCCCUGGAGAAGACCCUGAUGUUGGGAAAGAUGGAGGGCACAAGGAGAAGGGGGCGACAGAGGACGAGAUGGUUGGAUAGUGUUUUCGAGGUUACCAGCAUGAGUUUGACCAAACUGCGGGAGGCAGUGGAGGACAGAGGUGCCUGGCGUGCUCUGGUCCAUGGGGUCACGAAGAGUCGGACACGACUAAACGACUAAACAACACAACAAAAGAGAUAAAGAAGGGGGUCGGAGGAAAGAGAGCUACAGCUGCUAUAAAUGGAGGAAAACUCCAGCAGGAGAAGAAUUCUGAGGACCAAAAGUGAGACAGAAUCUAAAGCAAUUUCCUUCUUGACCUGGCUGUAGACGAGUUGUUGUGUGCCACAGAGAACCCUGGGCUUUGUCCUAGGGUACACACUCAAUUCCUGCAGGGCACUGGUAAGCUCUGUUGAACUUCAGUGUUGCCCAUCUAAACUACAAGUGCUCUAGAAGACACCAAACAUCCCCCUAACUUCUCAGAUUACAGGGCAAGAUAAGUUGUGAACAGUGCCAGCUGUCCUUCAGGGAGGCUGGUCUACACGAUUACUGAUUUCACCUAGGAACCCUAGAUACACUUUCAAGAAGCCCCAGAGUCUCAUGAAAAAAGCAAACAAAAAUAAAGCAGCCCAUCAAAUAAAAGCAAAAUUAAAAUAAAAUGUAUGAAAAAGUUGGAGAUAUUAUGGUCAAAGGGAUACUUAUUUUCAUAAUUACAAUUCCUGCAAUAAAAUUAAGCAAUCGAUCAAUGUUUUAGCACAAAUCAAAUCGCUGUAGAAAUACUGGAAUAGAGUUUUGUAAUUGAUUGGAGAACCGCAUUACACAAUUCAGAUAAGUGUGCAUUUCAAAGGAUAACAUAGAGAGAGAGAGAGAGAGAGAGUGUAAAAGAGAGGCUGGUCACUUUGAGGCAUAGACCAGUUAUGUAAUACCUCUGUGCAAUAUUUUGGUAAUGACCCCAAGUACGAAUCUUUGUGCUGGAGGGCAAAUGGAUGGGCUCCUUCCCUCACCUGGCUGGUAGUGAGAAGGACAAUAGCCAGUAUUGUGUUUGUGAGAGCUGAUAAGAAGCAGGCUGCAGGCAGAGGCCUGAGAGGGAGAGUAAUGCUGGAUUUCUGCUGUGAUGAUGGGAGAAGCAAGACCUUCUGCGGUGUUAAUGCUGUGAGACCCUCCAUUGUAGCCUCAGGUUAUAUAUAUGUGUAAAUAAAGACAUCACAGUCUUCACUGCCCCUCAUUACAAGGACACUGAACCUGGUGUAAGCACCUGGAACCCCUGGAAUUGCACACCACUUGGAGAUUGGGGUGGCAGACAACAAUAUAUACAUGCAAACAUGUAGUCUAUGCAAGCAUUUUAUCCUGUUCUGUCUACCAAAGAAUCAGCUUAUAUAAAGUCAACAGAACAACAUCAAAGACAAUAAAAAUACACAUACAGGUCAAACAUUUAAAAAUUCCCCGCAAACAGAAGACAUAAAAUCCCUUCAAAAACACGCUGAACAAGCAUGUCUCCUAGUGCCUGUGAAGUACUAGAAGGGUCAAACUAAGGCAAAUAUCAGAGGUGAGUUGAUUCCACAGGGUAAGAAGCACUAGAGAAAAGGCCCUGCAAGGGUCCCCCCCCCAACCAAACCUCCUGAACAAAGGAGACUCUAAGAAAACAUUCAAAUUUUUAAAGGAAUACAUACUCUGGUUUGCUCCAGGGAGCCAGUAGGCCAUUCUUCCUCCCAUCAUCGGGUAUUCAGCUGUAAAUUUUAGCAGGCCAAAACUCAGAUGAGAGUUUGAGAGAAAUAGAAUUUUGCUAGGCAGUGCAUUUUUAAAGAAAUAUUUAUUAAAGACCUGGAUGCUACUUUAGCUGCAUUAGCCCAUUAAGUUUUCAAAAGUUAUUUUUGGGGGUGGAUGAAGGGUAUGAGAAAUAAAGCAUUAUGUAGUGGGAGAUGCAUAACUUUUUGUGGCCAUGGGGAUGUGGGCUUAUAUCACCCAGAAGACUGGAAUCCUAGAUUUGCUGCCUAGGGCUGCUGCAAUGUAAUGCUACCCAAAGGUUAGCCACGGUUUAGCAGUCAGGAGCAGGUUAUGGUACUGCACCCCCCAGCUCUCUUCUUUUAGACUGUAUGAAUUCUUUUUGCCUGCCUAAACCCUGGUUUGGCAUUACAUCUGACCUUUGCUGGCCAUGGCUAAGGAUUCUUUGAAACCCUGGUUUGGAAUCCCCAAUACACUCCCAGCCUUUAAAUCCUGGUUUGCAUUUGGUUAUUGUUAUGACAGUACCAGCUAGGAACAAUAUGAGGAAUAACAGCAGAAAUGACUGAGACAAAUUAAUCAGGUUAAAGAAAUCUCCCAGUUACUACAAUCCUAAAACAAUUAUUAUGUUAUUAGCUGAAUCUACAAUUUUUAAUUUUAAAGAGUUAGCUUGUAACAUUUCUUUCUUUCUAAAAAGUGGUUUUUUUAUAACUGCUUGUGACAUUUGCCAACCAUUCAAGGCUGCAGUUUAUUUCUACUGAAGAUUGCCCUGCCAUUAAAAAAUAGUCAUUUUAAAAAUUAUUUCAUGUAAUAAGACUAUAUGACAGAUGAAGAAGAAAAACAUAAAACAUAAUAAAAUUCAUGGUGAUCACAAUCCCUCUUCGCUUAUAGUGAUCAGGAAUUGAUUUUAUUAAACAGUACUCGGUUAUGAUGAUGAGAAACCAAUGCAAACGUUUCUUCCAUCAAAGCACCACUAUUAUUUAGACAUAUUUGAAACACAGGCUUGGCAGCUCCCUUAGGAGAUGGUGAUGGAUGUUCGGGGAGGGAUGGACCAGGUAAUAAGGGAAAAGGAAAAUUAACAUAUAGGAAGGUAGUGACAGCACCACUUUCAGUGUGUGAAUCUAUUUAUUAAUAUUUUUUCAUAGCACAUCUAUGUCUCUCAGGGAUUUCCUUAACAUCAACUUCAUUAGUUAGGAAGGCAGCAAUCCAUAACCAAUUUUCUUUUCAUGUUGUGCUUGUUCACGUAUUAAACCAGCCCCUUUGUUAAAAACAUUUGCAAUUAAUCCCUCAAACAAAAGAAAUGCAAAUCUUACAGUCUCCCUAACCAAAACCCACCAACUCAAGGCCCUGAUCGCCACCUAUUAUACACUAAAAUGAAUUGAAAUUCCCACUUUGAGCCUAACCUAAUUUUCUACUGAUAAUAGGCAUGGAUUCCCAGAAGCACUCCAUGCAUCUUAAUAGUAACAUCCUAAUUUCCUUUCUUGGUAAAUGUUUUAAAUAAGAUUUUAGCACCAAAGGAAAUUAACCUUUAAAUUAAUUGUAAUUAUAAAAUGCCACCGCUGAUUUUGUCUUCAGCCUAAUUGCUUGCUAUUAUUUAAACCAGCUGCACCUCAGCUGAGCUUUAAGUUUAGGUUUCUCACAGUUGUCAACAAAUCAAGGUGUCUGCUUAUGUCUGUGACCAGGCUGGUCUAUUUGUGGCUCUGCAAACAUUAGGAUGGACAGAGCAAUCUUAAUUCACAGGCUAGGUGGGUGCCUCUGCUGGCAGAAAGGUCUGCAGGUGUAACACCCAUGCUUGCUAAGGAAGUCUCUGUUGUGCCCAUGGAAAGCUCCACAGGCAAAUAUCUACCACUGACAGCAGUUGGCAUUCAGCACUCCUGAAACAGAGCACUCUGAGCUGAGGCAGGGGGAUGAGGUAGAGGUAGCCCUGGAUCCACUAGAUCUCUGCUUCUCUCACAAGCAUCUACUGUGUACUCAGGUUCAGGGACCAUAGGGUCCAACUGCUUCCUGCUUCUCCUUGCUUUUCUGGCACUUCCAGACAGUCACCAUUUUCAGGUGGCAUGCAAACACAUGCCAGUAAAUUCAGGCUGCACAACUUGAGCUGAUUGGGAGGUCUUGUGCAAUGAACCCGCUUACUCAAAUGAUGGCUUUUUGCAAUAAGGAAAGUGAUAUAAUAUACUGGGCAGUGUGGCAUAAAACUUGCUUUCACGCAAUGUCAUCUAAUCCACCCUGCAAAGAUUUAUGAGCAUUCGUGAACACCAAAAGCCAUCUAAUCUACCUGCAAGCAAAUCAGAAUGAAUGCUCGAUAAAUAGCUUGUCUGGAAGCGCCUCACUCCCACCCCCAUUCCAUGCAGAUAAGACCUACCCCAUAACUAGCAGCAGUGACUGGGAUGCUCCUGGAUGUUCCUCCAUAGGUUGUUAACCUACUUGUUUUAGUCAGGUUCCUGUAUUCUUGUAGAUGCCAUAGGGGACAUGAAACGUGCUACCCUUGCUGUUUGUUGAGGCACUGUCCAAGACACAGGGGACCUGUGGGAGUGCUAACUCCACAUAUAUGCUUUCCCCUUUCUGGAUCCUCCAUCUGAGCGCAGUGAAGUUGCUACUCUCUCUCCUGCCCCCGCCCCCUGUUACUAGGCACCCCUAUGCCAGACUGGCAUGGACUGUAUGGCUGGAUCUAGAGCUUGAUGGGCUAGGGGCAAUGACUCUCUUCCGUCUUUGCUCAGUCAGACACAUGGACAGUGAGGGAGCAGGCAUAUCAGGGAGCACAAGUGGAAUGAAGGCUGCUGCGAGGGUACUAUGAGUUGAGGAUGUGGGAGAAAAUGGAGAUGGAUAAUGUUACCUGCUGGGAUCAUACCUAGUAGUGUCAGCCUAUUAGGCAAGAUAUCAGGGCAGGGUUCCAUUGGUCACAUGGGCUACCAGGAACGGACCAAAAGGGGUGGGCAUUGGUCCGUGUGGUGUUCCAAUUGGCUCAGGUGUGUCUGGGGUUUGGUGUUAUACCUUGGCUUUGAACCAUGUAUCCCCUGCAUGGAAACCAUGACCUAUUCUAUCCAACCAGGACUCAUCUUGCAGCUUCUGCACUCCUGGGGUUGAGGCUGAGGGCAGCAGAAAGAUAGGAUACUCUAGGAGGUGUCUGAUGCCUGCUGCUGUGGCUGAGUUGUUAGGGAGCUGUUCUGUGGAGCCUGCAGUGUAAGUUUGAGGCACCAUGACUUUUUUUAAAGCCAGGCAUGCAAGAGAAGAAUUGAGCCAUAUUUUCCCUUUUCCCUUGCUGGGGCUUGAACUCUCCUGCUUCCCAACCCUGGGACGUAUAGAGUGAGCUACUGAAGGCUGUGUGUGUUGUGCUCAUAAAAAAGAUAAAUGAGAGGAACAUAAGUGGAUUUGAGCCGUUGUCUAAAGAGAUGGGAGAUUGCCUAGCAGUAGCAGGGUCAUUGCUGGCUAAGCCACUGGGGCUGAUGGUGUGGGGUUGCUUCAGCAUCAUCUUGUAUGCUGCAUAGUGAUGCAAUGAACUGCAGUGUGUUUUUCCCCAUUGCCAACGGUUUGCUGGCUCCUGCCGCGUGUGGGUAGCAUGUGGGUGCUAUAGAUGACACCAUUUCCAACUGGAGGGCUUUGGGAGUGUUCUUUUGGACACUGGGGUUAUAUCUGUCAUUUUUAUGCUGUUUUGAAUUUUCCAGUUGUGGGUUUCUUACCCUCCCCUCCCCACCUGGACUUAGUAAACAUGAGAUAUGUUGGCUGUAGCAGCAGUAUAUCUCCAGACCUUAGGUUAUGUGAGUAUAGGAUUGCUCCGAUAACCUUUCUCAUUUCCCCCCAACAUCAUGAUUUCUUAUUAAAGGCUUGCUGAACUGCUGGGGAAAAUAUUCAAGCUUUUGAAAUUGUGUUAGAGGUUCAAAUACAUGCAUACAUUUGGUUUGGUUUUUCUGUGCCUCAAGGAACCAUUUAUAGGAGCAAAACAAUGUAAGCGAUAGUAAUCUCAGAGCAUUCUAGUUUGUUAGGCUGCAAAUUCUGCAUGAUCUUGAAUUAUUCUGGCCACAUAAAAGGAUCCCUGAGGAGAAGGGAGGGAGGAAAUGCAUACAAAACAGGAACAUGGAUCCAUAUAACAAACUACUCCCCUGACAAUGCAAUGUUUGCUGUCUAUUUCUGUAUCUCUAUUUUGCAUCCUAGUUUUACAGCUUUUAAAGAAAGAGUCCAGUGUUCAACUGUUUAUUUUUCAACUAUGUCCUACUGAUUGACUGACUGUGUGGGGCAUUUAGCACUGACAUUGUAUAAAAGUCUGGAAUACCAACUAUGGAGUAGAUCAAAGACUCAGAAGAAGUGUGAAGGGAAAAGCCUAGGUAAAUGUAUAUACACCAUUGUAUAAACACAAGCAGCCCUAUAGAGACAACUGAUCCAGAGUCUGGGAGAGAGGAGCAGGCUCAAAGCAGCAAGCUCCAUCUCUUACUUUACUUGGGUUCAGAAGAAUGUGAGAACACACAGGCAGUGUACAGACAAAUCAACUGCGCAUGAGCUUGUCUCCUAUCACUGGGGACCCUGCUAUAUACCCAAUCUCUCAUAUAAUUUGUGUGGGCGUAUUAUUAUUAUUUUCAUGUACUCCCCUUCAACCAGCUUUAAGGGCAACAUACAAAAAGUUUAAAUCACAAUCAAACAAAUUAAAACAAGAAUGUAAAAAUACCACAACAUAAAACAGCAGUAUAAAACCAGUCUGCAAAAAAACAAAAAACAAACAACCCCCCCCCCCCAAAACCCCGAACAGCAUAAAAACAAAGGAUAGAAAUUAAGGGUGCUUUUCAGAAAGGUGCUCCUCACGCAUGCAAUUUAUUUCAUCUACAUGGUGUCAUUGUCAUUAAAAUGUCAUCCUGUAUUUCCCCCUGUUUAAUCAAGAUGAAUCCUUUCCAGGAAAAAUCCUGUAAUAAUAAAGCCUGUUGUCAAUGACUAGUUUGUGAUAGCUCAAUCCUAAACUGCCACCUGGAAGCUCUUUAAAAGUCUGGAAAAAAUACAAAGGUCUUAGGUGCCGCAAUGCCAUCAUUCCACAGCUGGGGUGCCACUACUGAGAAGACCCUUUCCCCUGGAGCCACAGUCGUGCCUCAUGAAGGGCUUUAAAUAGCAAACUGAGCAUUUUGAAUAGGUGAGUGUUCCUGUUCCACUGAACAUGCAUAAAUUCAGAACAGAGCCUGCUGCCAAAUGCAAUCACUGUCCCUGGAUCAGUUGUCUGAAGGGGGUGUGAUGUAUAGCUAUCAGUUACUGAAAUUUAAAGACAGAAAAUAUAACAUCUUUGCAUCUUUAGUGCAACAUUAGAAUGCACUAGAACAUGAGUAGCAUAAUAUUGCAAUCUUCAGUAAGUUAAAAAAGAUACUUGUUAAAUUCUGAUGUCAGAUGUGCAACAUGCAUUAAUGCAGAAUAAACGACAUUCCUAGGUCUGCACUAAAAGUCACUGACAUGGAUUAAAAUGCAUGCUUCACUAUAAGGUGUGGCUUAAAUGGCUGGAAGAAAUCCACAUUCUAACAACACUUUAACCCAAUCUAGUAUGGAUUCCCAAGAAAUAUUGAGCAUCCACAUUAACAGAUAUUGGUAUUUAGUGUCCUGGAACAUGUUCAGCAAGAAAUCAACAAGGCAUGGAUCAGCAAGUAUGAACUAAACAAAUCAGAAGAUUUAAUGUUAUAUACCUUUCUGUCUGAUUUACUACAUCUGAAGCAAGUCCCACUGAUUUUCACGGGACUUCCUCUCCAGUAAGUGAAUUUAGGCUGGCAGUGUUCAACCAGCUCCUAAUCACGUUACUCUGAAAUACUACUACUACUACUACUACUUUUAUUAUUUAUACCACACCCAUCUGGCUGGGUUUCCCUAGCCACUCUGGGCGGUUCACAGCAGAAUAGUAAAAAGAUGAUAAAACAUCAAACAUUGAAAACUUCCCUAUACAGGGCUGCCUUCAAAUGUCUUCUAAAAGUCAGAUAGUUGUUUAUUUCCUUGACAUCUGAUGGGAGGGUUUCCCACAGGGUGGGUGUCACUACCGAGAAGGACCACUGCCUGGUUCUAAUAAGAUUUAUUUCCAAGAAUAUAUAUAUAGAAUUGAGGCAUUAAGGUAUACUCCUACAAAUGGGAUCCUCAUAACAGAGGGUCCUGAUUGUGUGCGGGACCCAAGAGCUCACCUGACAGGGUUAAAAUGGGGGGGGGGAGCAAGGCGUCCUGGCCAUUCCCCUGGGAUCAUGCCAGGCGAUUUUAGCCAAUAGCCAGUGGGAGGCCUGAUCCCAGGGGCUUUAAAAACAGCAGUGUGAUGCAAGGAGGGGCACUUACUUUGCACUGUUGAACACCCGCCCACCCUCCCUAGCUUAGGUAGAGUCGCUUGACCUUGCUUUGGUUGGGUUGCCUGUUUUGGAACAGGGGCUGGGUAGGAAUUUUUCUAUUUGGCAGAUUGGCUUUAGCCAUUUGGUUUUUGCCUACCCCUUAGCAAAUCGUCACAACUUGUAAGGUGGUGGUUAGGCAGUGGCUCAGUUGGAUUGUGGGGAGGGGAGGUGCGGCCAUCACCUGCCCCUCUAGGAACUGGGUAUUCCGUUAAAGGAAUCUGGGGGUCCUGGCCUGGAUCUCAUCCGAAGUCCGCUUGAGGGGCUAGGGCCAUGCCAGGACCACAGGAACCCCGGGGUGAGCUUAGGUUGGUCCUCAUCGACCUUGCUCCCUCAUUUGGUUUACUCCAUUGGACGAUCACCCUGAGAGGUGGAGUCAGUUAUAGUGGGGGAGUCAAUGCCUAAGCUAAUACUGCUCACGUGAUUGUAUUUCAAAAAAGUUGUGGCCAAAAUUUGCCCAAAAACUUAAACUAAUAUAAGUGUCUGUGUGUAUUUAUUUUGGGGGUGGGUCUUGGGGCCUCGAGACACAAACCCUUACCUGGGAAUAAGCCCAACUGAACUCAGUAGAUAGACUUUUCUUUAUAAAUAUAUUAAUUUAUUAUUAAAUUAAUAAUUUGAUUAUUGACUACUUUUAUUAAGGUGCUUCAACACAACAGUCACAAGGUGAAGUAUUCCUCAAGAUCUGAUUUUAUAGUUGAAAAGGAGGAUAGAGGUCACACAAAGCGCAGAUCAUGUUUUCUAAUAGUAAUUGUGGCAUUAAUAGUUCAGCCAUUUUUUGGUGUUUGCUUCAAAUAAAACAAGGGGAAGAAAGCAAGGGAGGUGAUGCAGAGUAACAAGCAGUAAUGCAAAAUACUGAAAUGCAACAAAAACUCUGCAUUGGAUUCUCCCUUCCUGACCCCUGCUUUAAGCCAAAUAUUGCUGCUUGGGGGAAGCCAGUGUGUACAUCCAAAGAUGGAGUCGUGAACAUUGAAAGAAGACAUUGCUCUUGUGAGCUAAGAUGGCAUCUGCAUGGCCAAUCACACUGUGCUUCUCUAGACAGUCAUUGCAGUGUCUUCUGAAUGCUCGGUUUGCAUCAGCCCUUCUUCCUCAGGCAGAGUAGAGCCCGGAGGGAAAGCAUUCAGUGAAAUAGUAAGUCUCUUCUUUUAAUUUCAUGUAACCUACAAAUCCCACAAGGCUGCUGUUUUAUUGAUGACCCUCGAGAGCUUUUCACUAAGUAACUAAAUAUUUAAUGAUGUUUUCAAAAAAACAUAUUGAAUUGUUGCAAAUUCCUGACAUAAAGCUUGUACUAGAGGAGUCAAAUUGCUAGAGAGUUUAAACUGAUUAAAUGAAUAUUUCAAAGUAAUAGAAUUACUGUGCAAUUUUAAGAAAAUGUAGCUCUAAUAAGAUUUCCAAAAACACACACACACAAACAAGAUGCUUGGGAAAGAUUAUAUCCCACCCAGGAAAAAUAGGUGUUGACAUUUUAGUGGUUUUAAAUUGCUGCAGCUAAUAAUGCCAAUGACUUUAGGAAGACAAAUGCUUUACGAUAUCAAUAUCUGCAGAGAGUGAUGCAGAGAGAAAGGGACUGGGGCAAACAGACCUUGGGUUUCCUAUUCCCUUAAUGGGUCUCUUAUCUCUACCCCAUUAUUACUUCCACAGAAUUUCUCAUAGAGAUUUAUAUCCUAUUUUGAUACCUUGGCUCACCUUUGCUAUUUUCCAUCCACUUUCCAUGACCCUCCCUUCUGUGCAUCUACUCAGUUGAAUCCUAACCCUAACCCUUAAAAUAGUACUGGGGAACCUGUGUCCUGUGGCUACCAGGCCUCCACAUUUGAGCCAUGGCAUGUUUUGGCUUAAAACAUGCCUGCCUGUCCAUCUCGUGACAUCAUCUGACAUCAGGCAUGGGAUUGGGAUGGGUCAGCCCACAGGACCAUGCAAAAAGGAGUAAGUGGGGGUGCCCUCUCAGUCCACUCCUGAGUAUUUCCAGUUGAUCCAGCACUUUUUGAAUUUGGCAGCCUUUUCCAUGGCCCUGUCAAAGUGGGCCAUGGAGGGUGGGGCAGUUAUGGAUCCAGCCCACUAGCUGGAUCAAAUUUCCCACUGCUGCCUUAAAACAUACAGUUGCUGUUGCAUUUUUUAGUUUUGGCUCAUGUAGCUUUUGUUCUACCCAAGUGUUCACCCAAGAAUCUCAGGUUUCCACAAACACUUCCCAGUGAGAUUCAGGGGAUUGCUGGAAAGAGUAGCCCUUAAAAUGAUAAUUUAAGUGCUUGAUGUUGCAGAAUUUGUGAUUACCUGGUGAGAAUAGGAAUUUCCCUAACCUGCUAUGUAAAAUAAAUAAAAAGUUCCCUUAGAAGUUCUAUAGCAGGUGUGACUAACCUGUAAUCCUGUUGUUGGAUUCUAACUCUCACCAGACCCAGACAAGGUGGUCAGUGAUGAUGGGAGCUAUAGCCCAACAAUAUCUGGAGGGCCACAAAUUAGCCACGGAAUAUAAACUUUUUGAACAAGCACAGACCACUGUAUUUAAAGUACUAUUUAGAUAUGUUCUGGACACCAGGAGCUCCACAUCAUCUAAUUUUUAUAGGAAAAUGAAGGUAACCAAGAGAUUGAAACUGGCAAACAUCAUUCUCAUGGCAGACAUGCAGGAUGGUGCCCAGACAAGUCAUACCCCUGAUCAGUAGAUCUAUUGAAAUAUUAUCCAUAUGGAUAGCAAUAAUUGAAAGCAUGUUGCUUACUUGCCCUACACCUUUAAGACAGGUCAGGACGUAAACAACUGAACAGACAGGCAAAUCAAUUCAGAAUGCACACACUGGCACAUUCUCUAAUCAUUAAAACAUGAUGUUUUAUGUCAGACCCUGAACUACUGUUGAGAGUGAAUUUCCUCAUAGCAAACCCUAGGCUGCAUGUAAAAUGUGAGAGAGGAAAAGAGCAGCCUUAAGCAGUGGUGUAGUGAUAAAUUUUGAAGUUCAGGAAUACAUCAUGAAAGCUUCUCCUCAUAGCCAUAUUCCAAGGAAAGUCUAAAAAUGAAGUUGGAUGUGUUAUUCCCUUAUCAUACACAGGGAAAGCAGCUACAGUACAUAACACAAUAUCUAAUUUAUUGGGAUGAGAUGUCUGCAAUCCUAUGCAUUGGGUUUGUUGUUUUUUUUAAUAAGCUCAACUGAAUCCAGUGAUGCUUACUUCUGACUGCAUAGGUUCAACUUGCACAAUGCAUUGAACUUCAACAAAACAUCUCAGCCAGCUAAAAUGCAACCUUUUAAAUUUUAAUUUCAAAUCCAAACAACCUUGUAAAGAAGUGCUGCUGUUUAAACUGCUAGCAUGAAGUAGGGUUCCCAUCAAAAAGAAAGAAGCACCCAGACUUGGCUUAUACAUUUUCUUUAUUCUCUGGCUUCCUCUACUCUUAUUUGUCACAAACAAACUUGAAAGCCCCAUUAUUACCUCACUGACUCCAGAGCAAGUAGGACCUAUGGAUAACCAUGGUGCUCUGGCAGAUGAUGCCAACACAUCUAGACACCCUUCUGCAUUGCUUUUCUAUCACCCCUCUGGCCAUAAGAUAUGCAUGUAUUCUGUUCCCAAAUUUCAUGCAUUUUCCUUUAAUCUCACAUUUUUUUAUUUUAAUGACAACAGGGAAAGAAUUUUGGUUUGAUAAUGAGAAAACCACAUGUGGUUAAAUCCAGCUAGUUUCUUAAAUUUCUCCUGCUGAAAUUAGUGCAAUUUCAGAGUGUUGAACUACGCGUGUGGUUACUGAAAUAUUCUAAACUGAAUUUUUAUGUAUUCAGGAUAUAGCUAGAUGACCUCUUCAGCAGACUGCUGCUGAAAAUGGCAGUUCCAUGGCAGUUUCACCCCUGUGCUUUCCUACGACAUUUAGGAAUACUUAUCUGUUUCAUGACAUCAUUACAUUGUGCUCCACAUAAAUGGCUGCUUCUGGCAGAGGUUGGGAAACAACACAGGUAAAGGUGUGCAUAAAUAUUGGGGAGGGGGAGAGAACAUGGAGCUUCCUCUUUUUGACCCCUGUGUGAGAAAUAUUGGCCACCUUUGGAGAUCACAGUAAACCAGCUCAUGAAGUUGCUGAACUACAACUCCCAUCAUCCAUGAUCAUUGGGCAUGCUUACUAGGGCUGAUGGGAGUUGUAGUUCAGGAACAUCUGGAGGGCCAAAGGUUCUCCACUCCUGGUAUACCAUACACAAGCCAACCCAUUUGUGCUGCAGAGAAACAAACCAUAAUCACUGGCUUGGGGUUGUGUCUGAAAGAGGGGAUGUGCUUUGUUUCACUCCACAGAGAUAAGCCAAGGUUUGUUUGGGAGUUACAGAUCAUCAUGUGUUUGAGCUAAAUGAAUCACAAUCUCUGGUUCAGACAUAAGCCAGGGGUUGCAGUUUGUUCCUCUCCAGCAUGUGUUUGCUAGACUGACACAAAUAUUACCAGAAAGGAGUGAGUAAACUGUUCUUAAUAGGAAGUGUAUUUUUUAUUUCUAUGGUGGCUAUGUUUUUGUCUGGCUAUGAUAUUUACAUUUAUUUAUAAAGAUUGUCUAUUGAUAUAUGCUCAUAUAUACAGGAGAAACUGGUCAGUGAAAAUGCAAAUAAAGAUUAAUUGAUUGAUAUUGAUAACAAACUGAACCAAAACAAUAGAAGUGAUUAGGUAAAAAGCAAGAUUAUAGGAAGAUAAGCUAAAGUUACUGCAUUAUGUUUAUGUACUUCAUUCCACUCAGUAGGGUUUUUCAGACACAACAAACCAAGAGAAACUCCAAGCAUUUAACCCCUUUCCUUGACUAUUUUUGACUGGAAGAAACAUGAACUAACAAGUUUGAAAUGAAACUGUUGCAUUCUAUUCUUGCCAAAACUGCUACAACAAAUCUGAAUAGUCACAUUACAAGAACUUUACCCACACAUUAGUAGGGCAAGAAUUAAGAUGGGUGAGAAGCAAGAAACAUGAUCUUUGUGAAGUAUUUUUAGAGGAAGUUUUGUUUUGUAGUGUUUCAUUUCAGAAAGUAAUUAUUUUCUGUAGCUGCAUUUUACCAUUUCCACCAUUUGCUCCGAACUGUCAUGGCCUAAGUUCAAAUAUUCUACCCCCUGUCCCCAACCCAUUUCUCAUUUUACAGUAUGACAAAGUAUUCAGAAUGAUAUUGGAGUGGGAUGGAUGAGUGAGAUGGAUGAUAUAAAAAAUAGUUUCAACUGGCAUGUAAUAAACCUUUAUUACUUACAGCUGUCCUCUUCUUCGGUGAUACAUUUCACAACAUAACAGGCAUAGAUGAAUCCUGCCAGCUUAAACAAAAGGGAACAGAAUUAGAUAUACAGUAAAAGUGGCUGGAAUUCUCAACAAUGGUGUGCACUUAUAAGACAAAAACAAUCUUCCCUGCAUUUAUUUAUUUAUUUUUGCUAUGAAAAUUGCAAUACUUUAACAUAAUUAUACGUUUGCCGCAGUGAUAAAUAUCCAUAAUGGCUGCAUUGGUGUACUGCGAUGCUGGAAAAUUCUUUUCAGAAUUCACUCAUUUUCCCCCUUUCACUCAGAAAUGAAAUUCAUAUAGAAAAUCAGUAUACAAUAAUACCUCCCACUUUCCCAGUGAAGGCUUUUUCACAUUCUAAAAAAUGCACCCUAACAUUAUUAUACUAUCCACGACACUCCUGUGAGCCUGAAUCUGGAGACAAUAGUAGCAUAUCUACAUGCAUAUAAUGAAUGAGUGAAUGGCCUUGUUGUGUUGAGAUCUGCCCCAUCUUUUUAUAAAUAUCUGCAUGGCUGCAUAGUCCAUAAAAGAGGAGGGGUGGAGGAAAUGCCAAGCUGCCAAAGAAUCUUAAAAACUGCCCCCACAAGAAAACAUUAAAGUGGCAAAGGAAAAACAAUACUGCUGAAAGAGCAAAGUCUUGGGCCAGCCACCCAACUCAGCAGUGUCAGCCCCUCUGCCAUUUGUAAAAUGCUGAUAAUAGGGUUACCGAAACGAAGAGUGUGAAUUGCUUUGAAUACUUAAAAAUGUUUGUUUAAGAAAGAACUAUAAACCACUUAAUUAAAAGAACCCUCUAAGAAGUAUACAUACAACAAUUAUCAACAGUAAACAUAAAAUCGGCAAACAUUAAAAACAAGUAUACAUAACAAAAUUUUGUGCAUGAAUAGGCUAGCUGAAACAAAGAAGAUGCUGCCACAAUAAAUUACCAACAGAUGCAGAACAAACAUCAUAUGGCACUUCACCAUGUGCAAGAUCCACAGGCAGAAGCAGUUGGCUAGGUAUGUAUGGGGCAAGUAAGCUUGUCUUAAGCUGGAUAUACUAACAGUAAAACUUUGAAACUGCCCAGAAACAAAUUAGCAAUCACUGCAGAUUAUUGAGCAGAGGUGUGACAUACAUAAUAUUCAUUAGGUUCUAUAGUGGAGGAAUAUAUGUUCACUGAAGAAUAAAAAAGCAACAUCUAAAAUCUUGAAGUUAUCCAAAUGGUGAAGAAAUUGGGCUGUGUGGCUCAUCAUUAGUAGUAUCGCAAUGAAUUUCCAGUAGAAGCCUGUGACAGUUGCUCCAGCACAUUCCCUUUGGGAAUCGUGCCAAAGGGAGGUAGUCAACCUGGUGUCUUCCAGUUGCUGGGGACUCCAGUCCCCAUCAUUCCUGACUAUAGGCUGGAGAUGAUGGGAGCUGGAGUCCAAACUUCUGGAGAGCACCAUGUUGGCUGUCUUGCACAUGAUCUGACCCAGCCAGAUGGGCGGAGUAUAAAUUAUUAUGAUUAUUAUGAUUAUUAUUGUAGGCUAUCAAUGCAGUGGAGUGUGAGAAAAACCUUCAGGCUCACAAUCUCCUCCCUAGUGUAUACAACAUCAUGAUACUAGGCCUAUGUGCACAGGCCCUAUUUGCAGUGUCACAUGACCUCCCCUUGUUCUUACAGGGUAUACACAGAGUGGGAGAUGCACUACCGCAGGGUUCACUCCUAGGUUCCUUGUGUAGAUGGACAACCAAGGCUAUGUGCAAACAUUUCCCAAGUGCUGGUAAAAAAUAAGGGGUGAAAUUAAGAGCUGCUGUUUUCUCACCCAACAAAAUUUGGUAGAAUUUAUAUAAUUCUGCUUCACAUAUUGCAUCAGGGAAAAUUGUUCCUUACACAUCAAUGGCCAUUUUGAUUUUUCCUUUGAUAUUACUGAGAUCAGAAGAACUUCCUAUCACUUGGUUCUCUGCACCUGCAUUUAUUUCUACUAAAACUAGUACUACAGGAUAUGUUUUCUUCAACACGUUAUAAUGCUGACAACGAUUCAAAGCUCAAUAGGGCCUAAGUGUUAAAAUGGCGUGCUCUACAAACAGAGCUUCUAUUCUCUUUGAUGCUUGGAAGACUUCAUAUGAGCAAGGUGGAUGUGCAGACCAAGCUGUUCCUCACAUCAGGAUGGGACAUCCCUGCUCUUUUGGAGCCCUGCAUGGAUAUUGCAGCAACUAGAUAGGGCUGAUCAUUUUAAUGGUGUAUGAUAGCAGAGUCACAUUUUGAACAUAGUCACCAGCUGAGUUCUGUAGAACAGUACUUCCCAACCAGCAUAAGGAGACUCACUGCUGUGGCUCAGCACAGCUUGUCAAGCAUGCCUCAAAAUAGAUCCAAUUAUAAUUGCUCACUGAAGCAUCCUCUUCAUUGCCAUUUCUCAGCUGGUGAUCAGCCCUAGAUGGGUGUAUAGAGGCUGGUCGGCAAAGCAAUGGCACUUUCUGACCUUUUGGCCAUUGUGCGGAAAAUGUUCACAUCUUUCUAACAUACCCAUUGGCAAGAGUGCUAAAUUAGCACAGUUGUGCAGUGAAAAGUGGUGGGAGACAUCCCCAAGCUCACUAGGCUGAAAAAUGUGAGAAAUUCUGCUGUACAGUUUUAGGAAACAUUUAUUUAUUAUAUUACCUGGCUUCAGCUAAUACAGUGAGCACUUAGCAGACCUGAAAUUUACCACAAUUCCCAUGCUAAACACUAUGCGAAUAAAAGUGUGUUAAAAGGUGUAUGAUCACAUCUGACAGGUAAAGAUAUCAGUAAAGAAAAGAAUGGGAAUGAAAUAUAGUAAAAAACUAAAAUGAAGAGUCACAUUUUCACAAACUCUGUACAGUAUGUAAGUUCAUUUAUAGCCAGAGUACACAACUUUAAGAUAAUACGCAUCUAAACAAGGAUCAGGAUUACACAAGGUCUCCACCUGCCUUGUAUGUUAAUAUCCAAAAUGGCUAGCAUGAAUAAUUUAUUCCAGUUCUUGGAUGAUGCAAUUAUUGAUUCAAUCACUUCUGAGGCAUGAAAUGCAAUAGUACAUUUGUGUUACAGUAGGCUGUCUUGCUAAGAUAAAACCUACUUUCAGAGAUCUCUUCAUGCCAAUCUGAUUACAGACACAACAUUGCCAUUAAGUAAUUAUUGUUCACUAUCAAUAUGCCCACCAGAUGGUGGGAACAGGUAUGGAAAUGUGGCUUUAAAAAUAGGUCAAAACUGAGGGCCAGUUUAGAUGUGAAGACAGCAAACCCCUUUGUUCAUGCCCAGCUCUGUCCAAUCAUGUAUACAUCAAGGGACAAUUUUUAGAACAAAAGGGGCACAUGGAUGGGAAUCCCAAACCCUUCCUGCCUGCAGCUUAUCUCACAAUGCUCCGUAGAUGAGCUUCAAUAGCAGAAGUGGCUUCACCUUGUGGGAGUUGCUACGGAGGUGCUCUGCUUCACUGCAGUUGAUCAACCCCCUUGAGCAUUCUGUCUAAACUUUUUACAACUCUAUAGUAUCACGUAUUUGUAUAGCAGCAUGAUGAUAUUGGCAGGGUGGCUUAAAGGGAAUGCACAAGGCUCUGUGAUCUGUUUGGAUUCCUGACAUUGAAAGUAAAUAACAAACAUGGAUAGCAGGCAAGUAUAUAUUUUUUUAAAACACACACACUUCCCCUGUUCUGUUUCCUACUGCAGACUCACCCUCUCCCAAGGCAUAUGGCCAGAGUUUUGAUCCCCUUGGCCGCAAUCCAAAUCUUCCCACAGGUGCUACUCUUUGUAAAGACCCAAAUGACUCCCUCAAAAAAAGAAAAUGGCACUACUUCCCAUGAAAAAAUGAACCUUUUUUUCGGAGGGGGGGUUAGCUUCCAGGUGAAAAGCUGCAGGUUUCUCAGAUACUAUAAUCUUCCCUUUCAGGUAGUGCCCAUCUCAUUUAUACAAGUCCAAAAACACAGACCUGCUGAUAUGUGGGACAUUGUCCUUAAAAAAUAGCAUUUAUAGUCGUGGUUGCAUCUUACCUACAAUUCUAUGUUACAUCAGAGCUAAAUCCCACAUUUAUUUCACAUCUGUCAUGAGGCUCUGCUGGGAGGCUUUCACACUAGCAGGGAUGAGAAUUCACUGCAGGAGCUAACAUGCACUGUAGCAAAGAACAGUGAAACCUUGUGUGAUGUCAGCAGGCCGUCUUUGCCUCAUUGAGCUAUUAUAGCCUUUACUUAAUGUGACCAAAAGUUGAAGGGCUGUUUAACCCACACAUGUGCAAGUCCUGGCUCUUUGAUUUAUUUUUGCAAAUCAAUGGAUCACACUUACAGCUCAACAGUCCCCAAAGUGGUCUAAAAUUACAGGGAUGAGGAUGUUCUUAUUAACAGAGUUUGCCACACGCCUGUUGCUAAAAUGUCAAAAGUUAAUAUCUUCUUAACUAACCUUCGCCCACAUACCGCAUAGCAAAUGUACUGUAGCACAAAUUGUACAUACCACUGAUCUUUUAAUUGUUUCCAGUUGCAUCCCCUUAAGUAUUGCAAAAACUCAUUAAAUAAAUUUCAGGAGGCAAUCUUACUGAUUAACGACAUACCUUUUUCAACUAGAAUGCGUUCUCUUCUCUAAAUAUUAGGGCUAAUGUAAGAUGGGAGGUUUUUUUUAUUACAAAACUAAAACUAAAAAUGAAGCCUAAUAACAAUUUUGAGGGUUGCAACUGGGGAAUAAGGCUUGACUUUUAUCUUUCUGGCUGUGACCCCACCCCUCUCUGGAAAGUUCUCUAAUGAUGUAGUUGUUGCAUAGGCUGUGUGUGAUCUUCCUUGCAGUUUGCUGAGUGCAGGUUAACUCUUGCCUCCCCAGCUGCAGUCUCCAAGAAGAUCAACCUGGGGGCGGGGAGCAAACACACAUUUUUCAAGCAGAAGGGGGAAAUUGAGUGUGUGCAUGUAUGUGUGGUUGUCAUGUGUACAUGCAUGCAUGUGUGGUUGCAGUGGGUCUAGGGUUGUGGUGUAUGUGUCAUGCUGACUACAGUUUCUCAUUAUUUAGGCAACCAAGCCCAAAUAUUUAGCAACUCGUGUCUUACAAAGAACCCGUUUAAGCAGAAAUCAUAUUGAAGUUGGAGUUCAAAGGAAGAAGAAGCUCCAAACAAGUGGUAAGCAGCAAGUGAAAGAUUAAGAGAAUUUUCAUUAAAUUUCACUCUUACAUUUUUUUACCAGUGAACAUCCUCCUAUGUUCACACGGACGUGGGCUUCUGCUUGGAUACGCAGAAUCAUGAAACAAACCCAGAAGUGGCUCACUGAGUGAGGUGGAGUCACUCCACUAGCUUCAUGGCAGGUGGAUCACCAUUGUUGAUUGAGAGACACAAGGUAGCAGGGAGGUUAGUCUGGUUCAAAUGCAUGACAGGUGUGCUGGGUUGGUUCUGCUGGUGCAUUUGCACCACACUGACCUCCUUGCUAUAUUGUCCCUCCCUCCUGGUAAGCAACACUGAACCACCUGCUGGGAGCUAGCAUAGGGGUUCUGCCCCACCCAGCAAACCACUUCUGUACAGGUGUCCCCAGUAUUUAAACUUGAUUUUUAAAUCAAGUUUUGGUUAAAGUUCACACCUGCAACUCUGUUUUCUCUAAUAAUUGGUUAUUAGUUCACACAUAGGGAUAGGCAUUCAGUUGCUUCCCAAUAGUGUUUAUGCAUAGAAAGGAGAAGCAAUGACAAGUCAGCUGUGUGUGUGUGAAUCUGAUACAACCAGAUUUAUAGUGUUUUCAAUGAGGAAGUGUAUUUCAGGAAAACAGACCUCAACUUUUGUGUGUAUGUGUAUUAUGCAACCAGCCUUGAGUUACCUUUUAGGUUCUGAGUCUGAUUUUUAAAAAAGUCACCUGUAUGGGCCUACGGCCGUAAUAAAUUAUUAUUAUUAUUAUUAAAAAAGUCACCUUAGAAAGGAGAUAAUGAGUCUUUGGGGGAUGAUGGAGAGAAGGACCCUAUCUCUGCCUUAAGAGAAUUACCCUAAAGAUAGAAAUGCUGCCAUGGAAACACUUCGGCCCUUUGAGAACUUUCCUGAAACCUCUGCUCCUUUUGUGGAGAAUGCAAUGAUUAGAAGAGCUGGAAGAAGGCAUACUGCCUAGAGUCAAUCCAUAGCUCCCCAGCUUUGAGAGAAUUCAGAUGUUAUGGAGAUCAAGUAAAAUAAAAACCUAACCAUGUGUACUCAAAUACAAGUCUUCUUGAAUCCAGUGGGGCUUUCUUCCAGAUGAGUUGGGGUUAGGAUUGCAGCCUGGUCCAGAGGUAUCACAAACCAUUCAGAGGCAAUGAACAAUUUCUCAUUUUCUAAUACAUACAGUGGCGUAGCGUGGGGGGUGCCAGGGGUGCCGGCCGCACCGGGCGCAACAUCGGGGGGGGGCAUGAGUCCAGAGGGAAGGGACAAGCAAUCGAGGCUUGUUUGGGGUGGGGGGUCGUCGUCUCCGUUUGGCCGGCCCCCCUCGAGGAAGCGGGAACCUCUCCAAGGCGCAGCGCGCCGUCGGUGGAGGGAAAAGAGCCACGCAGCAGCAGCAGCAAAGCCGGGAGGAGGAGGAGGUGGAGGCGCCGCCUGCCGCAGGAUCCGAUCCGAGCCUGCUAAUCGCUUGCUGGGAAUUAAGCGGCUCAAAGAGGCAAAGGAAGAGGUGGAGCCGCUGGCCCGGCCGGGAGGAAGCUGGAGAGAGCAGCGCGCCUGGGCGCGGCGAGGUUGGGUAGGUGCGCCCUGGCUGGCUACCCGCCUCCCAGGCUCAGUGCCUCCAUGACCCCUCCAGCGGCGAUGGGAGAGAUCCCUGGCUGGCCUGCUCCUGCUUCUCCCCCGCCUCCUUCCCGUUGCCGGCGCCUUGAUCUCAUCCGGAUCAGGGACGAAACACGCCCAUCCUUCGCUACUCCUUGUCGGGUCACUGCUUCAUUUCUCCAGGGAGAGAGAGAGGAGAGGAGAGGUGCCGGGGAUUGCCAAGCGCGUGUGACGCAAAGGGCCUGCCCACGCCCAGGCUGAGCUCCGCGUGGCGGGGGCAGAGGAAGGCGCUCUGCACAUGCUUCGGAGGCGCUCGCUCUUUCCGAAGAAGGACCCGGCUACUGGAUCAAGGCCACAAGGGCCCAUCUAGAGUGGCCAAGCAGACGCGUCAAUGAGAAGCAGGACCGGGGCACAAGAGCACUCUCCCUUCCUGCUGUUUCCAGGGGGUGGAAGCAUCGCUGCCUAGAGCAGUGGCGUAGUGUGGGGGGUGCAGGGGGGCCGGCCGUACCGGGCACAACAUCUGGGGGUUAGGAUUAGGGUGCGCAAAUCCACGGGUUAGGGGGCGCAAAUUACUUGCCUUGCCCCGGGUGCUGACAACCCACGCUACGCCACUGAAUACAUACAUGCAUACAUACAUGCAUACACACACACACACACACACACACACACACUUUACAAAGAGUUUUAGCUAAUCUUAGCUACUUGAUGGGGAUACUUGUGUGAUAUAAUAUGAUGUAUGAUACUUCUCUUUGCAAACACAUGAUUGUUGCCCCAUUUGUGGAUCAUUUAUAGGUUUACUGUAUACUUGUAUACUGGAUGCACACCUUAAAUGUGUGAAAAGUCUCCCAGAAACAGUUCAAGAAGUGCCCUAUGGCAUCCAUUCCCUUAAAACAACUCAGACUAUGAACCAGAGACUCCUUUCCCCUUCCCCUUUACAACCUAUCUGCUUUUCAAGGCUCAUCUUAAUUCUGCUGGAUUCAACUCCUAUCCAGAUCCUCUGGAAAACAAACUUUGUGUGUGUACUUUCCCCCUUUUUGUCUCUGAUCUGGGUGAGGCAGGAGAGAAGUGAUCAGAGGGGUGCUGGUCGCAGGUACAGCAGUCACUAAAAAAAUCCUUGUAAGUCCAUGGGCCUAAAAGUAUGAUGAUUUCUGGUAUAAACUUUCAUGGACUAGAGCCCACUUUGCAAUUAACACAUUGACCCACUGUGAGUAUACAUGCUCCCCCCACCUAAUAUAGAUGGACAGUGUUCAGUAUUCAAAUGGCAAGGGUUUGAUGAGGAUGGGCCAUUUUCACGAAAACCCUCUUCAGGCACUCAUUCCACAUAAUUAUAGAGUUCUAGACCAUAUAGUGGGGGAGCCUAUGUAUAUUCAAGAGGUUCCUCUUCAGACAUCCCCCCUCAAACACAUUGGGAUGUGACAGUACAGGUGGGGCCAGUUGUCACAGUUCCUUCCUCUCCAUAUGAUUACAAUUGUGUGGAGGGAACACGCAAAGAAAAAAGCAAAUGCAAUAACUAGAAAUUGAUAUUCUGUCCCAUUUAAAUUUCUGCCAUAUAAACAUUACACGAUAAACUAAUAGAGGAUUAUGCAAAUCUGAAAUAAUGUUUCUUAAACCAUCUAAUCUUACAGUGUUUUGGAAGCUAAAAGUUUUCUUGACUCUAGUUUGAGUAUACUUCUGGAGUUCCCAAGGUCAUCAAGUGCUGUGAUCAUACUAAAGCAAAAUCAAUAUUUAUCAAAAUACUGUCUCACUACUUCCCCUGACCCUCUUUAUGGAGACAAAUUGUUUUCAUACACUGAGAACACCGUUGGAUUUAGGGAGAGACUCUCUAUGAAAGCACAUAAUUCUUAUAUAUGCUCUUAUUUCCUUUUAAUACUCAAACAGUAGAUUGAUCAUCAAAAGGAAGUAACUUUAUUAAGCCAG